CCUACGGGUGGCAGCAGUGGGGAAUAUUGCACAAUGGGCGCAAGCCUGAUGCAGCCAUGCCGCGUGUGUGAAGAAGGCCUUCGGGUUGUAAAGCACUUUCAGCGGGGAGGAAGGCGGUGGGGUUAAUAACCUCAUCGAUUGACGUUACCCGCAGAAGAAGCACCGGCUAACUCCGUGCCAGCAGCCGCGGUAAUACGGAGGGUCAAGCGUUAAUCGGAAUUACUGGGCGUAAAGCGCACGCAGGCGGUCUGUCAAGUCGGAUGUGAAAUCCCCGGGCUCAACCUGGGAACUGCAUUCGAAACUGGCAGGCUAGAGUCUUGUAGAGGGGGGUAGAAUUCCAGGUGUAGCGGUGAAAUGCGUAGAGAUCUGGAGGAAUACCGGUGGCGAAGGCGGCCCCCUGGACAAAGACUGACGCUCAGGUGCGAAAGCGUGGGGAGCAAACAGGAUUAGAUACCCGGGUAGUC
This 464-nucleotide ribosomal RNA is filed under the name uncultured Klebsiella sp. RNAcentral describes it as "bacterial SSU rRNA". It matches the Rfam family "Bacterial small subunit ribosomal RNA", at positions 338 to 795 of the family's 1533-position model. The record is from RNAcentral. Lineage: Bacteria; Pseudomonadati; Pseudomonadota; Gammaproteobacteria; Enterobacterales; Enterobacteriaceae.